RNAcentral lists this ribosomal RNA (1199 nucleotides) under Salmonella enterica subsp. enterica serovar Muenchen. Its description in RNAcentral is "bacterial SSU rRNA". It matches the Rfam family "Bacterial small subunit ribosomal RNA", at positions 1 to 1190 of the family's 1533-position model. Lineage: Bacteria; Pseudomonadati; Pseudomonadota; Gammaproteobacteria; Enterobacterales; Enterobacteriaceae. The record is from RNAcentral.
AAAUUGAAGAGUUUGAUCAUGGCUCAGAUUGAACGCUGGCGGCAGGCCUAACACAUGCAAGUCGAACGGUAACAGGAAGCAGCUUGCUGCUUCGCUGACGAGUGGCGGACGGGUGAGUAAUGUCUGGGAAACUGCCUGAUGGAGGGGGAUAACUACUGGAAACGGUGGCUAAUACCGCAUAACGUCGCAAGACCAAAGAGGGGGACCUUCGGGCCUCUUGCCAUCAGAUGUGCCCAGAUGGGAUUAGCUAGUUGGUGAGGUAACGGCUCACCAAGGCGACGAUCCCUAGCUGGUCUGAGAGGAUGACCAGCCACACUGGAACUGAGACACGGUCCAGACUCCUACGGGAGGCAGCAGUGGGGAAUAUUGCACAAUGGGCGCAAGCCUGAUGCAGCCAUGCCGCGUGUAUGAAGAAGGCCUUCGGGUUGUAAAGUACUUUCAGCGGGGAGGAAGGUGUUGUGGUUAAUAACCGCAGCAAUUGACGUUACCCGCAGAAGAAGCACCGGCUAACUCCGUGCCAGCAGCCGCGGUAAUACGGAGGGUGCAAGCGUUAAUCGGAAUUACUGGGCGUAAAGCGCACGCAGGCGGUCUGUCAAGUCGGAUGUGAAAUCCCCGGGCUCAACCUGGGAACUGCAUUCGAAACUGGCAGGCUUGAGUCUUGUAGAGGGGGGUAGAAUUCCAGGUGUAGCGGUGAAAUGCGUAGAGAUCUGGAGGAAUACCGGUGGCGAAGGCGGCCCCCUGGACAAAGACUGACGCUCAGGUGCGAAAGCGUGGGGAGCAAACAGGAUUAGAUACCCUGGUAGUCCACGCCGUAAACGAUGUCUACUUGGAGGUUGUGCCCUUGAGGCGUGGCUUCCGGAGCUAACGCGUUAAGUAGACCGCCUGGGGAGUACGGCCGCAAGGUUAAAACUCAAAUGAAUUGACGGGGGCCCGCACAAGCGGUGGAGCAUGUGGUUUAAUUCGAUGCAACGCGAAGAACCUUACCUGGUCUUGACAUCCACGGAAAUUUUCAGAGAUGAGAAUGUGCCUUCGGGAACCGUGAGACAGGUGCUGCAUGGCUGUCGUCAGCUCGUGUUGUGAAAUGUUGGGUUAAGUCCCGCAACGAGCGCAACCCUUAUCCUUUGUUGCCAGCGAUUAGGUCGGGAACUCAAAGGAGACUGCCAGUGAUAAACUGGAGGAAGGUGGGGAUGACGUCAAGU